This 285-nucleotide ribosomal RNA is filed under the name Streptococcus agalactiae. RNAcentral describes it as "partial 16S ribosomal RNA". It matches the Rfam family "Bacterial small subunit ribosomal RNA", at positions 1 to 276 of the family's 1533-position model. The record is from RNAcentral. Lineage: Bacteria; Bacillati; Bacillota; Bacilli; Lactobacillales; Streptococcaceae.
UUUAAUGAGAGUUUGAUCCUGGCUCAGGACGAACGCUGGCGGCGUGCCUAAUACAUGCAAGUAGAACGCUGAGGUUUGGUGUUUACACUAGACUGAUGAGUUGCGAACGGGUGAGUAACGCGUAGGUAACCUGCCUCAUAGCGGGGGAUAACUAUUGGAAACGAUAGCUAAUACCGCAUAAGAGUAAUUAACACAUGUUAGUUAUUUAAAAGGAGCAAUUGCUUCACUGUGAGAUGGACCUGCGUUGUAUUAGCUAGUUGGUGAGGUAAAGGCUCACCAAGGCGA